Molecule: unclassified non-coding RNA, 344 nt
Filed under: soil metagenome
Description: partial contains 5.8S ribosomal RNA, internal transcribed spacer 2, and large subunit ribosomal RNA
Rfam family: 5.8S ribosomal RNA (bases 1-120)
Source: RNAcentral
GAUGAAGAACGCAGCGAAAUGCGAUAAGUAAUGUGAAUUGCAGAAUUCAUUGAAUCAUCGAAUCUUUGAACGCACAUUGCGCCCGCCAGUAUUCUGGCGGGCAUGCCUGUUCGAGCGUCAUUUCAACCCUCAGGGCCCUUUUGGACCUGGCGUUGGGGCUCGGCCGCUACCCUGCGGCCGUCCCCGAAAGAUAGUGGCGGUCUCGCUGUAGCCUCCUCUGCGUAGUAGUUACAUCUCGCACUGGAACGCGGCGCGGCCAUGCCGUUAAACACCCCACUUCUCAAGGUUGACCUCGGAUCAGGUAGGAAUACCCGCUGAACUUAAGCAUAUCAAUAAGCGGAGGA